Molecule: long non-coding RNA, 395 nt
Organism: Apodemus sylvaticus (European woodmouse)
Lineage: Eukaryota; Metazoa; Chordata; Mammalia; Rodentia; Muridae
Exons: 3
Source: RefSeq, a predicted model, not a curated record
GCUGGGCUCAGCUCAGCGGCCACGCCGUCGCCUUUGCCUGAUGUCUUCAGUUUGCAAUACUGAGGACUUACACAGAUCAAGCUGGGACUGACUUGAAAACCUCCUUCCUGCUGGCUAGUGUCAUAGAGCUGGAAGAUGCUACACAGGCUGCUUGAGGAGACAUGUCAUCAACAACUUUACCCAAAGCUGCAUCUUGAACACUGCUGCACCAGCCUUCCAGGCAAAGCUGCCAACAGUGAAGAAAGCUGGAUCUAUAGAGCUAGAGCGUGAGCUGCCUGCUCCAGGUCCGUUAGCACUCGCCACCCAGAGCCCCAUAACCCUAAGGAGCACAAGUGCUUAUUCCUGUGGAGUGAGGGUUCCGGACAGAGCACUCUGCUGUGGGCCUGGACCAAGGA